AUCGACAUUAUUCCUUUCUCUUACCCCUUUAAGGAACUGAAUGAAGUAAUUUUACCUGGCAGGGACAUUAAAGGGGCAAACAUACUUGUAGAUCCUAAUGGUGAAAUUAAGCUGGCUGAUUUUUGCAUGGCUAAACACAUCACAUCUUGUACUUCGGUGUUGUCUUUCAAAGGAAGCCCUUACUGGAUGGCUCCUGAGGUUAUAAUGAACUUUAGCGGGUACAAUCUAGCUGUGGACAUUUGGACUCUUGGAUGCACAAUUAUUGAGAUGGCAACAUCAAAACCACCCUGGAGCCAGUAUGAGGGGGUGCGAAUACUCAC
Long non-coding RNA from Magnolia sinica, 320 nucleotides. RefSeq lists it as uncharacterized. NCBI's taxonomy places the organism in Eukaryota, Viridiplantae, Streptophyta, Magnoliopsida, Magnoliales, Magnoliaceae. The transcript is spliced from 3 exons. The record is from RefSeq and is a predicted model, not a curated record.